GAUUUCUGGUUGCAUUCGCCUGUCCCGCCACGGUAACGUGUGUGAGUGAUGGGGUGGAUCGGCCAUCCUUCUAGAGGGAGUGGAGGGUGAAAACUUUCCAUUUCUACUCUAGAUCGUUUACUUUGAAAAAAUUAGAGUGUUUCAAGCAGGCAUUUUGCUAUGAAUACAUUAGCAUGGAAUAAUAAUUUAGGACUUUGGUUCUAUUUUGUUGGUUUCUAGGACUGAAGUAAUGAUUGAUAGGGACAGUUGGGGGUGCUAGUAUUCAGCAGGAAAGGGUGAAAUCUUUGGAUCUGCUGAAGACUAACUUAUGCGAAAGCAUU
RNAcentral lists this ribosomal RNA (320 nucleotides) under uncultured Ventrifissuridae. RNAcentral's name for it is "SSU rRNA". The stretch from base 98 to 320 matches the Rfam family "Eukaryotic small subunit ribosomal RNA", at positions 732 to 955 of the family's 1831-position model. Lineage: Eukaryota; Cercozoa; Thecofilosea; Ventricleftida; Ventrifissuridae. The record is from RNAcentral.